RNAcentral lists this long non-coding RNA (298 nucleotides) under Gossypium barbadense (sea-island cotton). RNAcentral's name for it is "long non-coding RNA (GBAR_LNC010382)". The record is from RNAcentral. Lineage: Eukaryota; Viridiplantae; Streptophyta; Magnoliopsida; Malvales; Malvaceae.
GAAAGGGGGUGAGUUUGGAAACUCAGUGUGCAACAAGCCCCUUUCAGAGCCCAAAACAAUAACAGCCUGUUGGGUCUAAGCCCAAAUCCAAUCUCAAACAUGUACUGGGCCAUAGCCCUUUUCAUAUUUCAUAUUUCAUAACACUGGGCCGAAGCCUUUUCAAAUUUCAUAUUACUGGGCCGAAGCCUUUACUGUAAAUGGUAUGGCCCAUAGGCCCAUUUCAAUAUCACAUAUAAUGUCAAUGAAAGAAUGCAAGCCCAAUUGGGGAGACUACUCAACCCACCAUCCGCUACUCUCC